Molecule: long non-coding RNA, 1366 nt
Organism: Alligator sinensis (Chinese alligator)
Lineage: Eukaryota; Metazoa; Chordata; Crocodylia; Alligatoridae
Exons: 4
Source: RefSeq, a predicted model, not a curated record
AGGAAAAGCAAUUGGCUUGUACUCCAGCAGUAACAUGGAGAAAGGUCUUUAAAGCCUAGAAGAGAGAGCGCUGCUGUGCCCCGGGAUGGAGUCGUUUGCUUGGUUUCCUUGGCACAAGGACCACCAUCUCUCUCCAGUGCCCUGAAGGGCAUCAUGUAGGUUAGGUGGCACCAGCUGAAGAUCCGCAGACCUCAACCAGCACACCUGCAUUCGCAGAAUGAGUGAAGCCCAUUUGGGUGUCUGUCUUAGACAAAAGUCAGAAGCAGAAUCAGUGCGCUCAGCAUCACUGUCUCUAUAAUAUUAGUAUGUGUGUGCUGGGGGACAGAUCUUCAACUGGCAUAAAUCAGUGCAGCUCUACUUCACAUGGGGAUCAAAAAUGGAUUCAUGGGAACACAGGACUGGACGGGACCUCCCAGCCAGUGAGUCAAGUCUCCUCUAUUUGCAGAAAAAUUAUCUGGAUAUAAAUUCACAGCACAGCAGUUCUAGCAACAGGAGAUUUCCUGCUCAUACUUCUGCCUCUGACCACUGACCCAAACUCUCGAGCCACCAUGCAACAGUGAACAUGAGCGUGCUGAGUUCCUACUUCUACACGGUCUGAAGCCCAUGAGGUUUUUGCCACAGGUUUCCAAAGAGGCAAAAUCUAACCCUGAAUCUCUUUUUCAGAGACAUGAGAGCUUUAUAAAUUAGACCAAAUAGCUGUGCCACAGGCGAAGAGUUCAUCUAUGUGUUAACGAGUGUAUUGGACUAGUAUGCAAAUGCCUCGUAAGCAUAAUAGACCCACUUUCUGCUCCAAGAAGUUCACUGAUUAGAUCAGAUGGGACCAAAACAGCGCAAAUAUAUACAAGGAGAUCAGAUGAGGCCCAAGCGGUGGGGGAAUCUUGCAGAAUCAAUCAAUGAAAGACUCUUUUUUUUUGGAUGUGGUGAGUUUUAGCCACAAGGCCAACUAAUAGCAUUGGUUUCAGGAGGCCAGACGUGCACUGUGCAGAUCCUCACACCACUCUGCCAAGGCUCCUCCGUUCUCGCCCUCAACACUUCUAUUAUUCCCCUGCAAGCGCUGCCAGUUGGCUUGAUGAGAGGGGCAUCUAUAAACAGCCAAGUUCUUCCCUCCGUUAUACUUGGCACCAUCAUAGACCCAGGAGGACCUGCUCGGGUGUAACUAAGGGCAGAAUGUGGCUCUCUGCCCAAUAUGAACUAAGGCAAGACCACCAAAUGUAGUUUAUACAUGAAGUUUGAAUCCAGACCUCUACCAAGUGAGAUGAUGUAGUUUAAUGCUUCUGAUUUUUACUGCGAAAGCCUGGCUCUUUAUUUGGGCAUAACAUUAUAUUGUGCAUGAAGCUUUGCAAUCCUGCCAGAGAGGAUGGAAAUA